Molecule: ribosomal RNA, 445 nt
Filed under: uncultured bacterium
Lineage: Bacteria
Description: bacterial SSU rRNA
Rfam family: Bacterial small subunit ribosomal RNA
Source: RNAcentral
UUCCUACGGGGGGCUGCAGUGAGGAAUAUUGCACAAUGGAGGAAACUCUGAUGCAGCAACGCCGCGUGGAGGAUGACGCAUUUCGGUGUGUAAACUCCUUUUAAGAGGGAAGAUAAUGACGGUACCUCUUGAAUAAGCACCGGCUAACUCCGUGCCAGCAGCCGCGGUAAUACGGAGGGUGCAAGCGUUACUCGGAAUCACUGGGCGUAAAGGGUGCGUAGGCUGGCUUCUAAGUCAGAUGUGAAAUCCAAUGGCUUAACCAUUGAACUGCAUUUGAAACUGGGAGCCUAGAGUGCAGAAGGGGCAGAUGGAAUUAGGGGUGUAGGGGUAAAAUCCGUAGAUAUCACUAGGAAUAUCAAAAGCGAAGGCGAUCUGCUGGGAUGAUACUGACGCUGAGGCACGAAAGCGUGGGGAGCAAACAGGAUUAGAUACCCCAGUAGUCUUG